This 406-nucleotide ribosomal RNA is filed under the name uncultured bacterium. RNAcentral describes it as "partial 16S ribosomal RNA". It matches the Rfam family "Bacterial small subunit ribosomal RNA", at positions 29 to 526 of the family's 1533-position model. The record is from RNAcentral.
AUUGAACGCUGGCGGCAGGCCUAACACAUGCAAGUCGAACGAGUGGCGGACGGGUGAGUAAUGUCUGGGAAACUGCCUGAUGGAGGGGGAUAAAUACUGGAAACGGUAGCUAAUACCGCAUACCAUCGGGUGUGCCCAGAUGGGAUUAGCUAGUAGGUGUGGUAACGGCUCACCUAGGCGACGCGCCCUAGCUGGGCUGAGAGGAGGACCAGCCACACUGGAGAUGAGACACGGUUCAGACGCCUACGGGAGGCAGCAGGGGGGAAUAUUGCACAAUGUGCGCAAGCCUGAUGCAGCCAUGCCGCGUGUAUGAAGAAGGCCUUCGGGGUGUAAAGUACUUUCAGCGGGGAGGCGUUACCCGCAGAAGAAGCACCGGCUAACUCCGUGCCAGCAGCCGCGGUAAUUC